AUGCCAUGGGUGGAAACGGACCAGGACAAAAUAAUUACUACAAUAGCCAGCUUGUUGUAUAUUCUGACUGAAAAAAUUAUUUCCACAAUCCUUAUUCUGUCCACUCUUUGCUCACAGGACGAAGACAGAUUCCAUCUCUGCGCUCCUGCAACCAUGAGCUUGUCUGCCGCCGGGAUCAUCAGUGCCAUCAAUGAUUGUGUCAGUUUGUUUCUGUCGGCCAAAUCUGCCAUUUCAUCUCUGCGCUCCCGAUGGAGUGGCUCACAAGAGCAAAGUCUCCAAGAUCAUGUAUUGCAAUUACAGAGUGAUGUACAACAUCUCUGUGACACUCUUCCUGCAAUGUAUCACCUCAUUAAUGGAGCAGAGUGGAGAAGCUAUGAAGAGCAUGUGGCCAAGCUCCUUCCGAGUCUCAAGGAUGCCGUGUCUGAGGCCGAGGACCUUAUUGAUGAGUUCAGAUGGCACGAGAUGAAGGUGCAAGUGGAAGGCAAUGCAAUCCAAUCUCCUUUCAUUGACUUCCUUGAUAAGGUCAUUCAUGGAAACUUCAACAUGUUGAAUGAUGUCCAAUUGAGGUUGAAUUACCUUUCGAGUGAGAUGAAGGGUAUGGGGCUUCGUGAAGUUACACAUCACUUUGCCAAAUCAGUUAGGCCAGUGACCACCUCUUUGUUGUCAAAGGAAACAAAGAUAUUUGGUCGUGAGAAGGAGUUGAAACAGGUAUUGGGGUUUCUUAAUGUACCUACACGUCCAAAACGCAAAAGGGCAACUAGUUCAAUAUGUGCAUCAACAAGCACAUCAUCAAGCAACCAUGUUAAUGCUGAACCAAAAAUAUCAAGUCUUCCUGUUUUGGUGGUAGCUGGAAUUGGUGGCGUUGGAAAGACUACUUUGGCCCAACAUAUCUGCAACCAUCAACGAGUGAAGUCUCACUUCGAGCUAAUAAUUUGGAUUUGUGUCUCAGAUGACUUCAAUGAGAAGAGGUUAACUAAAGAGGUCAUAGAAUCAUCUACUGGAAAGGGGCCAAAGAUUGAUCAUUUGGAUUCUCUUCAACGUGCUCUUUAUAACCACGUGAAAAAUAAAAGGUUAUUGAUAGUCCUUGAUGAUGUGUGGGAUGAUGCUUUGAAGGAUAAUGGGCGAUGUUGGGAGAUGUUUUGUGCACCUUUUACAAGUGUCCAAGAGGGAAGUGCGAUGUUAGUCACCACUAGAUGUCCAAAUGUUACCAAGGCCGUGCACACAAUGGAACCAGUUAUAGUUGAAGGUUUAAAGGACGAUGUCUUUUGGAAUUUCUUCAAGUUAUGUGCAUUUGGAUCUGAGGGUUCUAGCAAUGAUCCUGAGUUAGAGUGUAUUGGAAGAAAAAUACUUCCUAAAUUGAAGGGUUCUCCUUUGGCCGCCAAAACUCUAGGGCGCAUGUUAAGCAUGGACCUUCAAGCAUCUCAUUGGAGUUCCAUACUUGAGAGUGAACUGUGGGAGUUGAAACAAAAGGAAACCGAGAUUUUGCCUGCCCUUCGGUUGAGCUACAUGUAUUUACCAUUCUAUUUGAAACAAUGCUUUGCAUUCUGCGCCGUGUAUCCCAAAGAUUACAAAUUUGAGAAGGCAUGCUUAGCUGAAAUUUGGGUGGCAGAAGGCUUUGUGGAGCCUCGAGGUGGUGUUCCCAUUCAAGAUAUUUGCUAUCAGUAUUUUGAAGACCUUGUGGCGCGGUCCUUCUUUCAAAAGGUUAAUGGUCGAUAUGUAAUACAUGACUUGCUGCAUGACAUGGCACAAAAAGUUUCAGAGCACGACUGCUUCAUCUUACGAAAUAAGAGUGACUUUGAUAAAGUUCCCCAGAAUGUUCGCCAUAUAUACAUACUCCCUAGCAGUGAAUUUGAUGAUUCCAACUUGUUGAUACUAUGCAAGUACACGAAGCUACGCACCCUAAUUUGCAAGAAUAAUUUAGGGAAAAGAACAAGCUUUGUAAUGGAUCACUGGUGUGCUAAACUUCCGCGUAUGCGUGUGAUCUCUUUUGUCUUCACAAAUGUGUUGCCAGAUAGUAUUGGUAACUGGAAGCAUCUUCGGUACCUUGAAAUCUCUAGAGCUUGUCCUUUGAAGAGGAUCCCUUCAACUUUCUGUUGGCUAUAUAAUAUGCAGAUUUUAUAUGCCAAGAAAUGCAAGAUACAAAGCUUACCCGCUGACUUUGAUAAGUUGACCAGUUUACAGAAAUUUGAAUCAAAUGGAUUAACUAUUGAUGCAGCCAAUCAAGAGGGACAAGGAAUUAGGUCAAUUAAGAAUCUAAAUCAAAUUCGUGGAUACUUGGAGAUAGCUAAUAUUGGUGUUGGCAUCCUAACUAAGGAUCAUGCAGCAGAAGCUGAACUAAAGAAAAAGAAAUAUGUUGACGAGUUGGUACUAAAGAUGCGAGGUGCUUUACGCUCCCUUGAGUUUUAUAUCCACAACAAUGAUAUAGAAGUGCUUGAAGUUCUACAACCUCCUAUCAGCCUCAAGUCUCUGUUCGUCGAGAAUUAUGUCGGUGUCUCGCUCCCAAGCUGGUUUCAACCACAAAACUUGCCAAGCUUAACAUCUCUCAAUUUUAAGGGUUGUAUUGGACUGAAGAGCAUAAACCUGAACAAGAUACCUGCAAUUGGUACUUUCUUGUCCUUGACAAACUUAUGGAUUGAUGGGUGCGAAAAUUUAUCAAGCCUAGAAGAUUUUCUGCAACCAAGUUAUGUACCUGGCAUCAAGAAAAUAAAUAUUAUGGAUUGCAAGAUGUUAGCAUCUGUACCAACUGAGAGUUUUGGGGGUUUUCAUUUCCUUGAAGAACUGGGCAUAUUUGAUUGUCCGAACAUCUGUCACCAAAGAUUGGUAUCGCCAUCCCUCAAGGAGCUCCAUUUGUGUCGUUCUAGUCUCUUUUGCAAUAUUGACUGCUGCUCCCUCACCUCCUUUCAUUGUCAAUGUGAGUUUUCCACAUCCAUACAACUACAAACGUGGAGUCUUCCAGCUUUAAAAACGUUGGUAAUUUGGUGCAAAUCUCUUACAUCUAUUGGAGGCUCUAGCUGCAUUAGAGCAUUCCCAUCCCUUACUAUCCUACAAGUUCAGUUCUGUGAUAAAUUGUCAACCCUUGAUGGCAUCCUAACACAAGAAUACCUACCUGCUAUUGAGAAAAUUGGCGUCGAAUUUUGUCCUGAUUUACUGUCCCUGCCAGUUGAAAGGUUUGUGAAUUUUCCUCAUCUGAAACAUCUCGUGGUUUCUAUUUGCCCAAGUCUCAACUGGCAAAGGGGGCUUGUGUUGCCAUCAUCUCUCCAAAGACUAAGCUUCAGGAGCUGCGGCGAUAUUUCUCCAUAUGUUCCCAGCUGCCUACAGAACCUCACAUCCCUCGUCUCGCUGAGCAUUGGUAGGUGCCAGGGUAUAACAUCCAUUCCAGGUGACAUUUGGAGCGGUAAUCUUACAUCACUUGAGGAACUGAGGAUUUCGGAAUGUCCAGACCUAGUUUCAUUUGGUGGAGCAGAGGCAGUUACAAAUAUAAAGAAGAUUCAGAUAUACAAAUGUCCAAAGUUAAAGGAAGCGGAUCAGAUCGAUAGAUGA
Molecule: ribosomal RNA, 3540 nt
Filed under: Triticum aestivum (bread wheat)
Lineage: Eukaryota; Viridiplantae; Streptophyta; Magnoliopsida; Poales; Poaceae
Description: partial small subunit ribosomal RNA
Source: RNAcentral